Fukomys damarensis (Damara mole-rat) is the source of this 496-nucleotide long non-coding RNA. RefSeq lists it as uncharacterized. The transcript is spliced from 3 exons. Lineage: Eukaryota; Metazoa; Chordata; Mammalia; Rodentia; Bathyergidae. The record is from RefSeq and is a predicted model, not a curated record.
AAAAAACAACAAAUAAAAAACCUCAAAACAAUGACAACCCCCCCCCCCCGCCAAACAACAAGAAAGGGAGAAGGUGUGUAUAAACCACAAACAAUUUUUUAAAAAAAAUUUAUGGACAGAAUUCAUGUUUAAUUACAUAAUUAAAUACCUGUUUUCUCCUUGCAGCCUUCGGGGAGCGUGCACAUGGUGGGCCUCGAACACCAAACUGUUCUCGGGAGGAUGGGCGUGACCUCAAAAUCAUCAGCGAGGAGCCCUGCUGAUGGCCGCACACCGAGAGCCAAGCCGAGCUGAGAGCCCAAGCGACAGACGCCUCCCUUGCAUCCUGCACCCUCCCUCUCUCCCGGGUUGCUAUGCAUGUGAUUUGUUAGCCCACGAAGCAAAGGAGAGGAGGUGUGGGAGAGAGUUUAGUAGAAAACCCUUGUUUCUUCGCUUUUGCCCUUUAGUUCAGCUUGUGCAUUGCUUUAUUUAGUUGGAAUAAAAUCAGCAUUGAAUUCAG